Small nuclear RNA from Hibiscus syriacus, 161 nucleotides. RefSeq annotates it as U1 spliceosomal RNA. The transcript has a single exon. The record is from RefSeq and is a predicted model, not a curated record. Lineage: Eukaryota; Viridiplantae; Streptophyta; Magnoliopsida; Malvales; Malvaceae.
AUACUUACCUGGACGGGGUCAAUGGACGAUCAAUAGGGUUCAUGGCCUAGGCUUGUGACCUCCAUUGCACUUGGAAGGGGUGCAUGCCUAAGGUCUCCCCAAGUGGGAGAGCCUACAUCAUAAUUUGUGGUAGUGGGGGCCUGCGUUCGCGCGGCCCCGUC